This 119-nucleotide ribosomal RNA is filed under the name Pteropus alecto (black flying fox). The record is from RNAcentral. Lineage: Eukaryota; Metazoa; Chordata; Mammalia; Chiroptera; Pteropodidae.
GUCUAUGGCUAUGCCACACUAAACAAGCCCGAUCCCGACUGAUCUUGGAAGCUAAGCAGGGUCGGGCCUGGUUAGUACUUGGAUGGGAGACCACCUAGGAAGACCAGGUGCUGUAGGUG